Molecule: ribosomal RNA, 497 nt
Filed under: uncultured bacterium
Lineage: Bacteria
Description: partial 16S ribosomal RNA
Rfam family: Bacterial small subunit ribosomal RNA
Source: RNAcentral
GAUGAACGCUGGCGGCGUGCCUAAUACAUGCAAGUCGAGCGAACGGACGAGAAGCUUGCUUCUCUGAUGUUAGCGGCUGACGGGUGAGUAACACGUGGAUAACCUACCUAUAAGACUGGGAUAACUUCGGGAAACCGGAGCUAAUACCGGAUAAUAUUUUGAACCGCAUGGUUCAAAAGUGAAAGACGGUCUUGCUGUCACUUAUAGAUGGAUCCGCGCUGCAUUAGCUAGUUGGUAAGGUAACGGCUUACCAAGGCAACGAUGCAUAGCCGACCUGAGAGGGUGAUCGGCCACACUGGAACUGAGACCCGGUCCAGACUCCUACGGGAGGCAGCAGUCGGGAAUCUUCCGCAAUAGGCGAAAGCCUGACGGAGCAACGCCGCGUGAGAGAUGAAGGUCUUCGGAUCGUAAAACUCUGUUAUUAGGGAAGAACAUAUGUGUAAGUAACUGUGCACAUCUUGACGGUACCUAAUCAGAAAGCCACGGCUAACUACGUG